CAGCGGCCAUUAUAAAUAUUGUCACAAUCAUCGUAACGUAUAUAAACUCGAUCGAUUUAAGAUCUUUCAAUAGGAAACGAUGGAUAGCUUUAUUGUUGUUUACUAAAUUCAUUAUAAAUACCCUAAUUUAUCCCUCCUUUUUUUUUUUUUUCUUUAUGCCUUCGUUCUGAGACACUAUCGUUAUGUGCAAGGGAAUGGAUGAUGCAGAGUUUGAUAAUAUGUGGUCGGAUGACCAAAAAAUGAGUGUUAUGUUUUCGGUUUUUCGUGAUAAAUCAGUGAAUCCUCUUUCGUGGGACCAAAAAAUGAAUUUCUGGCAGGUAGCCAUCGAACGUUACUGUGAAAAAAACGAGUUGGUUAUUGUACUUCCGAGUACCUUGCCCACGUAUUUUACCAGAAAAGGUCGGACCCCACAAUGUCUCGAUGUUGUCGUUGCAGAGAUGAAGCGGAUUGGUAAACUGAAAACUUUGUCUGUUUUGGAAGCAGAAAGUGUCUCAAUGGGUUGGCUGUAUUGGGGUUAUGCUAAAUUCAUCAGAAGUCCAUUAUCAUGGGCGGUGAAUUUAGCAUCGAGCAUGAUUUCCAAGAAUAAUAAAUGUCUUGAAGAAAGUGUGAUGACAGAGGUCUUGAAGAAGAAAGCAGAGCAGCUGUUAAGCAUUCACUUAGAACGCGUGCGAACUCACCAGGAGAGUGACAUUAUAGAUUACAAUAGUCUGGUGGAACAACAUGCUGAUCUGUUCAAGGACAAGAGAGAAGUGCCAUUGCUAGUGUCCUAUUUAGUUAAACAGCAGAAGGCUCUCUUAAUACCUCAGGGAAACAACAAAAAUCCUUUAAUCAAGUUUACUGACAACCAGAAUGUUAACGUUUCUCCUGUCAAAUGCACAGAUCUUAAGAUAUAUCAGAUACAGUGUGUUGAGAUUCGAUUGGGAAAACAAGUGAACACUUUGACUGAAGAUAUUAAACGACUUUCUAAAGAAGCUCGAGAACAUGUGAAAAGCAAAUCACGCCAACUGGCUCUUUACACACUGAAGAGAAAAAAGAACUGUGAAAUGAUCCUGGAAAAGAAAUUAGCUACUUUGGAUAUUCUUCAUAGUUUGAUUGACAAAAUUAAAACUGUCACCACUGACCAACAGGUUCUCGAAGCUUAUGCAUGUGGUGUUUCUGCAAUGAAGGUGCUAACCAAAGACAUCAAUCUUGAGAAGGCGGAAAAUGUAAUCGACCAGCUACAUGAUACUCUUGGAGAACAGGAAGAAGUUAGCCACUUGUUGGCCAAUGCCUGGCCAGAUUCCAAUGAAGAUUCUGAAGCAUUAGAGGAUGAGUUGCAGAAAUUGAUCAAAGAAGAGGAAUGUGCUGCAGAAGAUGAGGCUCUUGCCAAAUCACUUUCCAAUUUGAGGAUUCAAGAUAAAUCUUUCUCCAAAGUAUCCACAUCAGAUCCUAUCACAGAAGAAGCAGCUCCUUUGUUGGAGGAAGACGAUGACGAAAUACCAGUUUCUUCUACAAAAUCAAAAUCUAAAUCUAAAUCUAAAUCUGCUGCAGCUCUCCCGGCCUUUUAAAUAUUAUUAUUAUUGUUGUUAUUAUUAUUAUUGAUGAUGAUGAUGAUGAUGAUGAUGAUGAUGAUGAUGAUUUUAUCACUAUGAA
Molecule: unclassified non-coding RNA, 1632 nt
Filed under: Octopus sinensis (East Asian common octopus)
Lineage: Eukaryota; Metazoa; Mollusca; Cephalopoda; Octopoda; Octopodidae
Description: charged multivesicular body protein 7, transcript variant X2
Source: RNAcentral